This 430-nucleotide ribosomal RNA is filed under the name Bacteroidota bacterium. RNAcentral describes it as "Bacteroidetes bacterium partial 16S ribosomal RNA". It matches the Rfam family "Bacterial small subunit ribosomal RNA", at positions 355 to 776 of the family's 1533-position model. The record is from RNAcentral. Lineage: Bacteria; Pseudomonadati; Bacteroidota.
UAGGGAAUCUUCGGCAAUGGGGGGAACCCUGACCGAGCAACGCCGCGUGAGUGAAGAAGGUUUUCGGAUCGUAAAGCUCUGUUGUUAAGGAAGAACGAGUGUGAGAAUGGAAAGUUCAUGCUGUGACGGUACUUAACCAGAAAGGGACGGCUAACUACGUGCCAGCAGCCGUGGUAAUACGUAGGUCCCGAGCGUUGUCCGGAUUUAUUGGGCGUAAAGCGAGCGCAGGCGGUCAAUUAAGUCUGAUGUGAAAGCCCCCGGCUCAACCGGGGAGGGUCAUUGGAAACUGGUUGGAUUGAGUGCAGAAGAGGAGAGUGGAAUUCCAUGUGUGGCGGUGAAAUGCGUAGAUAUAUGGAGGAACACCAGUGGCGAAGGCGACUCUCUGGUCUGUAACUGACGCUGAGGUUCGAAAGCGUGGGUAGCAAACAGG